Leptonychotes weddellii (Weddell seal) is the source of this 350-nucleotide non-coding RNA. The record is from RefSeq and is a predicted model, not a curated record. NCBI's taxonomy places the organism in Eukaryota, Metazoa, Chordata, Mammalia, Carnivora, Phocidae.
CAGCUGUCUACAAACCAGGAGGAGAGAUCUCACGAGAAACCAAUGCUGAGAGACCUUGAUCUGAAACUUCCAGGCUCCAGAACUGAAAUGGAGCCAGUCACACUGUUGGAAGAACUGUGACAAAGGAAGCGCGUGGACCUUGACCCGGAAGCAGAUGAUCCUCCCUCUCUUUAGCGUCAGAAGGUCAAUAGUAGCCUAACGCUCCGUCACGGUGCCCACGCCAUUCCCCUCACCUCGUUGCAUCAUGUGGGCAUUUUGUCAUCUCACAUCAUCACAAGAAGAAGGGAAUAAUUGCGUGUUCCGAAGAUUUUCACCUGUUAGAAAGGAUGGGCCCGCUCAGCUGAACAGGG